AAGAUAACCAAACGCAAGGCAGAAUCAGCUAACGACACUGAUGAGAUACCUGCUGAGCAAAAAGCCAGUGUUAAGACACGUAUGGCUGUCAACUGGGAGCCAAAGUUUUCGCCCCUUUCUGAGACUGUAGAGAGUCAGCUUAAGAGAAAAGAAGACAUGAAAAAGAUGUUCAAAGACAAAAAUUACGCUGCAGAAGAUGUGAAAGAACUUAUCAAGUCCACCUAUUACACGCAACGAAAGGACAUCAAUAAAGGUACAAGCAUCCUGAAGCUAUGCCAAGAAUGGCCUUUUUUGUUCCACAAAACUGGCAUGGCAGAACACUUCCAGCAACUUGCAUCAAUCUGAUGGAAGCCUUCUUCACCAAUCUGGACAAAAAGGGGGAGCGCAUCCUCAACUUCCUUAAAACUGUUUUUGCUGAGAAAGAAAACCAAGUUCUGGAGUCUCUCCUCAAGUUAGCAAAUGACAAAGGUCAGUCCAGUGGUUGUACAGAGAUGAUUCUUCUUCUACUUGCUUUUUUUUUUUUUUUUGUGAGAAGGAAGAGCAUAUGUUCCACUAUGUUGAGAAGACCAACCUUGCUGAAGAGGUUGAGAUGGAGGAUGUGCUAACAACACCCUGCCUUAUUGUGUGUGGGUCCUCUUGCUUCACUGCAGACUGCUUCAUGUUGAGCGUUGAUCAGAAAAUUGUCAAUGACGACAUCACUGCCUUCUCCUGUGCAUCUGCCUGAUGUUUGGCAGUUACUAUUGUUUUAAUAUACACUACCCAGUGGGACUGCGGUCAACACUGGAGUUCCUCCAGAGGUGUUUCUUUUCAAUAAAUCCGGAAAGAGGAACAAAAGUUGAGCACAGCAAGAGGAGGAAGAUCUUCGCGGUCAACCCAAGAGUCCUCACACUCAUCACUGACCUUGCAGACCAUGAGUGGACUUAGACCAUACUUUUGUGCAUUCCUACAAAGAGACGAAAAGAGAGAAGACUGUGAGAGAAAAAAGUGGAAAAACAUACGUGACCAUACUCCCAGAGCCAAGAAGUUGCAUAAUAUAUUCAUUAUACAUAAUAAAUCUCCAGUAGUGGAACAAGAAAAACGAAGCAGGAGCGUUCUUGUUAAGGCUCUGAGCCGAGAGAUGUAAAUCCAUUAAAAGAUUUGUGACAUUUUAAAAGUCCCUCUUGAAGCCAAACUUUGCUUCAGAAACAAAGUCUUUAAAGGCUCCGUUUGGAAAAAUGGUCAUUAUCACUGAGAGGGAAAAAUACACCAGUGUGACCUGCAUGGAAAGAAAAACGGAGGAGAGAGGAAACAUGGGAUUAAAACCAAAUUUAUCCCCAGCAAUGACGCUUUAAAGUCCCGAGAAGAUACGUUUACAUGGAACAUUACACAGAAAAGACGAAAGGUGACUUAAGGCUAACAUUUUAAACCAAAAGCCAGCAGUAUCACCUGACAGGUGUGGUGCUGCGGUAUGCUGAUGUUUUAGGGCCCUCAGGGAAAAAGUUUUGUCUCGACAGGCAUCAAAAACGUCAGUUUUUUAGAAGGGAUGACUGUAAAACUGAAACUGCUAAGGUUGGAGAAAGUGGCACACUUAAUGUCGUCAGCCUUUCAGUUCUUUUAAAAAUACACAAAUAUUUAGAGUGAAAAACCAUGAAGAUCAAAGCAAAAAUCUCCCACUUUGUGAGAUGAUCUAUCGCUGAUUUUAAUUACUGAGUUAUAUCAAUACUUUAAAGCAGCCAUUUUGUCUUUUUCUUUUUUUUUACUGACAGUAAUUUGUUUCCCUAAAUUUGCCAAUACAGAUGAAUGCAAAGUGGACAGAAAUUUAUAUAUAAUUUAGAAAUUUAAGAAUAAAAUCUGAAAAGUGUGGCAUGCAUCUGUAUUCAGCCACCCUCAGAUAAAAUCUAGUGCAACCAACCGGCUGCAGAGGUAAAUUAACUCCUAUACAUCAGAGGAAGAGUAGCUGUCUUGCCAUAUGUUGAUGUAACUUAGGCAACUUAACCUCCAGUUGCCUACCGAUCUGCAUAUCGGUUUUAUGUGUGAGCGUUAGUGAGUGCGUGAAUUUGGCUCUAGUGUAAAGUGCUUUGAGUUGUCUGAUUGGAAAGGCACUAUAUAAGUUCAGUCCAUUUAACUAGAGUCCACCUGUGUGUCAUUUAAUCUCAGUAUAGUUACAGCUGUUCUGUGAAGGCCUUGGAGGUUUGUUAGUGAACAAUAAUCCACAUGAAGAGGAACCCAGCAGAGAGAUCUGAGAUAAAGCUUUGGACAGGUUUAAAGCACAGUUGGGUUAAAAAAAAAAAACAAUAUCCUAAACUUCGAAGAUUUUAUGCAGCACCUUUUAAUCCACAUCUAUGAAGACUUUAAACUGGUUCAUUAAACUGACGAGCCAAGAAAGGAGAGCAUUAGUUAGAGAAACUGUCAAGAGGCCAUGGUAACUCUGAAGGAGCUGCAGAAAUCCACAGCUCAGGUGGUGGGACCUGUUGACAGGACAGCUAUUUGUCAUGCUCUUUACAAAUCUGAGCUUUAUGGAACAUUAGCAAGAAGAAGGUAAUUGUUGUAUACUUUGUUUGUGUUAAAGUUUGCUGUGAAUCAUGUACAGGAUGCAGCAAACAAAUGGAAGGAUUGCUCUGUUCUGAUGAGACAUCAUUAAACUUUUUCGCCUACAUGAAAAACAUUGUGUGUUGAGGAAAACCAACAAUACAUGUCAUCCUGAACACACCGUUCCUACAGUGAAACAUGGUGGUGGCAGCAUCAUGCUGUGGGGAUGCUUUUUUUCAGCAGAAUACUAGUUAGAGUUGAUGGAUAAAUGGAUACAUACAGGGGGAAACUCAAAGAAAACCUGUUAGAAGUUGCAAAAGACAAGAGCUAAGGAUCACCUUCCAGCAGGACAGACCCUAAACAUAAAGCCAGGGCUACAAUGAAGCAUAUUAUUGUGUAAGAAUAGCCCGGUCAAAGUCCAGACAUGAAUCUAAUUGGGAAUCUGUGGAAAGACUUCCAAACUGCUGUUUACAGAUGCUUUUAUGCAUACAGAGUGAGCUGGAGCUAUUUUGCAAAGAAAACGGGUGAAUAUCAGUCUCAGUAGAAUCAAGCACCUGAAGACUUGCAACUGGAAUUGCCACAAAUGGUGGUUCAACAAUGCAUUUACACAGGAAUACACGCCACACUUUUCAGGUUUUUCUUGAAAAUCCAAAAUUUUCCUCUACUUCACAAUUAUUUGCCAUUUUGUGAUGGUCAGUUAUACAAAAUCCCAACUAAAUACAUUGAGGUAUGUUGUUUUAACAAGACAAAAUGUGAAAAAGUUUCAUUGGUAGUAAGACUCUUGUGAGGCACUAUAGAAAAAGCUUCCAAACUCCUCCCCUAAUGGUGAUUGAGAACAUGUUUUUACAAGCUAUUAUGAAUCUGGGUUCUUAAUUCUCAAAUAUGCAUCAUGCAUUUUUCAAUUUGUUUCCCAAUUAAAAUAACACAUAACAGUAUUCAUAGCAACAAAGACUAUGAUCUAGAGCCACUAAACCUUUGUUGCUACUGUCAGUAAUAAUGCUGAUGCAAAUAAAAAGAAAAGAGAGGAGAGAGAAAGGGUAGAGAGUCAUGCAU
Molecule: long non-coding RNA, 3561 nt
Organism: Girardinichthys multiradiatus
Lineage: Eukaryota; Metazoa; Chordata; Actinopteri; Cyprinodontiformes; Goodeidae
Exons: 4
Source: RefSeq, a predicted model, not a curated record